CAUACCUUUCUACCCAUAAUCUCCAUAUACAGCAGAAAACCACCGCCAUAUUUUGUGUUGACAAGAUAGACAUUGUCUGUUCUAACCAUCAAAACAUGUCUUGGGUGACAGGCAGUUGAUUUGACAAUCCCAAUGACUCCCAGCACUUCUUAGCUUUCUCACACUGUAAAAAAACAGGUUCAAUAGUUUCCUCCUCAUCACUCUUUGGACAC
This 212-nucleotide long non-coding RNA is filed under the name Carica papaya (papaya). RNAcentral's name for it is "long non-coding RNA (CPAP_LNC000770)". The record is from RNAcentral. Lineage: Eukaryota; Viridiplantae; Streptophyta; Magnoliopsida; Brassicales; Caricaceae.